RNAcentral lists this long non-coding RNA (3995 nucleotides) under Prunus dulcis (almond). RNAcentral describes it as "sRNA ncRNA". Lineage: Eukaryota; Viridiplantae; Streptophyta; Magnoliopsida; Rosales; Rosaceae. The record is from RNAcentral.
ACCCUCCACUUACUAGUUAUGGCAAUGCAAUUACGCUCUUUGCUCUUGUGUGUGCUGCUGCUUCUCCUUGGCUUUGCUUUGGCAGAUACCAAUGCUGCUGCCAGGAUCCAUCCACCCGUUGUCUGUGCAAAUCUCAGCAGGGCCAAUUUCGAUAUUCUUGUACCAGGCUUCGUAUUUGGGGCUGCUACAGCAUCUUACCAAGUCAGUGCAUGCCUUCCGGGGGCUUAAUUAAUUGUGUUUCAUAUGGUUACUUAAUUAAGUUUCAUUUGAUUUCAUUGUCAGAUAUCAUUCUGAAUAUAUAUAUACAUUUCAGGUAGAAGGUGCUGCAAACUUGGACGGUAGAGGACCAAGCAUAUGGGAUACUUUCACCCACAAACAUCCAGGUCUGUUGAAUCAAACAAUCAAAUCUUUUUAUUUUGAUGAUCAGCUACUUCAUUUCAAAACAUAUUAUAUAUACAGCUAAUUCAUUCGUUGCUUUUUUUAAUUUAAGCUUUCUACCUCAGUAUCUCUGGUGUCAUUCUUUUCCCUCUUAUAUUUGUUUUCUCCAAAUCCUUUCGGUAAUUAAAUAUACGUUUUUCAAUGUCUAAACAAGCCAAUACUCCAUGGAAAUUUGUUAUUCUGGACUUACCCUUGUGUUUUAAGUGUUAUAAAAGUGUUCAAUGGAAAUUAAUUUAGAACUAUCGCUUGUAUCAAAAUAAACCGAACUUUAUGCUCUAAAUAAUUAAAAUUAUAUUUGGUCAUUGCAGAAAAGAUCGCUGAUGGCAGCAAUGGAGAUGUUGCUAUUGAUCAAUAUCACCGCUAUAAGGUUUGAAAAUCAUAUAAUUUUACUAUGUAGACCUUCUAUAUUCGAAUUUGAAGGACAAACGACAUUUAUGAUGAAAUCCUUAUAUUUUGGCUUCUUUCUUAUAAUUGUGUUUAUCUUUUGUGUCAUUACAGGAAGAUGUGGCAAUUAUGAAAGAUAUGGGGUUGGAAUCGUAUAGAUUCUCUAUCUCAUGGUCCAGAGUGUUACCAAGUAAGUUCAUCAUUCGCAUCCACAUAUUUUAUUAGGACCAAUCACUUUAUAGUUUAACAUGUUUUAUUCAAUUUAAUUUCUAUUUCUCGAUGGGUAAUUGCUUAUAUUUUCUUGUUUUGUUUUAAUUAUUAUUAGAUGGAACUCUAAGUGGUGGAAUUAACAAGAAAGGAAUCGAAUACUACAACAAUCUCAUCAAUGAACUCCUACACAAUGGUGAUACGACUGUCAAUCUCAUAUAUCGUCCUAAUAUAUAAAAACAGCAAAUGCAUUUAUUUAAUCAUACUUUUAAUUUUAUGUUACUGGUCAUAUGCUAUACAUAGGUAUAGAGCCAUUAGUGACACUCUUUCACUGGGAUGUUCCCCAAACCUUAGAGGACGAAUAUGGUGGUUUCUUAAGCAAUCGUAUUGUGUAAGUGAACAACUUUUUUUCCUUUAUAUAAUAUUGAUCAUUUAAUUAUAUAACUACAACUAUUAUAACAAAUACAUUUUGAAAUGUGUACACACAGCAAUGACUUUGAAGAAUACGCAGAACUUUGUUUUAAGAAAUUUGGUGAUCGAGUGAAGCAUUGGACCACACUUAAUGAGCCAUAUACCUUUAGUAGCCAUGGUUAUGCAAAGGGGACCCACGCACCAGGACGAUGCUCUGCUUGGUAUAACCAAACAUGCUUUGGUGGAGAUUCAGCUACUGAACCAUAUUUGGUGACACACAACCUACUCCUUGCUCAUGCAGCCGCUGUAAAAUUGUACAAAACAAAAUAUCAGGUCCUUUAAUUAAUUUUUUAUUAUUGGAAUAUUGAGGCCUAAUUGAGAAUUUGAUAUGAGUCAAUAGUAUUAAGCAACAAUAUAAUUGUGAAUAUAUAUAUAUAUAUAUUUAUUUAUUUAUUUCUGACUCAAAAUCAACAAAAAAUAUUUAUCUUUCUCGAGUAGGCAUAUCAAAAAGGUGUGAUAGGAAUAACAGUGGUAACACCUUGGUUUGAGCCCGCUUCAGAGGCAAAGGAAGACAUAGAUGCUGUAUUUCGAGCUUUGGAUUUUAUAUAUGGAUGGUAAUAAGUAUACUAUUAUUUUAUAUAUCAACUCAUUUAAAUACUUUAUUUAUGAAUUAUAAUAUUAGCUAGCUAGCUAAUAGCACUUUAUAUAAUAUUAUAAGUUUACGCUUAAACUUUUCAUAUUUUCAUAGGUUUAUGGACCCAUUGACAAGAGGUGACUAUCCGCAGAGCAUGCGAUCUCUUGUUGGAGAACGAUUACCAAAUUUCACAAAAAAAGAAUCCAAGUCACUGAGUGGGUCAUUUGAUUAUAUUGGAAUAAACUACUAUUCUGCUAGAUAUGCAAGCGCUUCUAAGAAUUAUUCUGGACAUCCAAGCUACUUAAAUGAUGUUAAUGUUGAUGUAAAAAGUGAGUACAAAUUAAAAACUUCAAGUAAUUAAUUAUGUUCUUAUAAUGACUACAUCCUAAUAUUCAUAUUAAUAUAUGUUGUCGCAGCUGAGCUUAAUGGAGUUCCCAUUGGUCCACAGGUACGCAUCAAAGUAUUUGUUUAAUCUAUUGGCAUUUGGACAAUUAAUACCUAUAUACCUAUAUACCUAUAUAUAUAUAUAUAUUCCCAAAAGUCUCACUAAUCUUCAAAUGGGAUUGCAGGCUGCUUCAAGCUGGUUAUAUUUUUACCCAAAAGGACUUUAUGAUCUUCUAUGCUACACAAAGGAAAAGUAUAAUGAUCCAAUCAUAUACAUUACUGAGAAUGGUAAUUAAUACUUUUGAGCAUUAAUGUUUCACAUAUAUGUAUAAUGGUGUAAAAUAUAGUUAAGUGCUGUAAACUCUAAAUUUAAAACUAAAUGCACAUUGCCAAUAUGAGGUAGCCAAGUGGCAAAAGGUCUUCACUUGCAGAUCAGUAGUCUCAGGCUCGAACCCCAAUAACACUUUUGUAGUGAGAGAGAGAGAGAGAGAGAGAGAGAGAGAGAGAGAGAGAGAGAGAGAGACCCCAUAUUUCUCUGUAGUUUAAACUAUCGUUUAUAUUAAUAAUAAAUUUAAAAAAACUAAAUGCAGAUUUCUUUUUUAGAGGAAAAAAAUGUGUGCAUAAGAUACUUCAUUAUACUGCAGGUGUGGAUGAAUUCAAUCAGCCCAAUCCCAAAUUAUCACUUUGCCAACUCCUUGAUGAUAGCAAUAGAAUUUACUACUAUUAUCACCACCUUUGUUACCUCCAAGCAGCAAUUAAGUAAGUGUUUGUCAACAUUUUAAUUAAGGCUAUAUAUGUAUGGAGCCUCCUUACAUUUCGGUUAUUUAAUCACUAAAUUGACCCAAAUACAUUCUUUUUAUUUAUUUUUCUUUUGUGUGUUUGCAGAGAGGGUGUUAAAGUGAAGGGAUACUUUGCAUGGUCAUUGCUAGACAACUUUGAAUGGGACAAUGGAUAUACUGUUCGAUUUGGUAUCAACUAUGUUGAUUACGACAACGGACUGAAAAGACACUCAAAACACUCAACGCACUGGUUCAAAAGUUUCCUCAAGAAAUCUUCAAGGAACACGAAAAAGAUCCGAAGAUGUGGGAACAACAAUACUAGCGCUACCAAGUUUGUGUUUUAAAUUUGAAUCCAUGUGAUGAAUAAAAUACAACUCCUUCUCCAUAGAGUUGUUGUUCGAGUUGUUUUUCAUGUUUUAAAUUUAUGUUUGGCUCUUUCUGAGUCGAAAUAAGUUGCAGCAACUCAUUGUGAGUUAGUUGUCUCUCCUUGUGAGUGUUUAGUUUUAAUUUUACUUUACAUCAUGUGCUUGGUUUAUCAACGUUUGUUUGCUUUAUGUGGUAGAGGUGCUUUGACCCUUUUCGGAUGUGGUUGGAGGGAUACCUUAUGUCUAAAUAUUGUUGAUGUAUCCUUCAUGUGUUUGUAUUAGUCCAUGUGGUCAGUGGCUCUUUAUGGCUAAAUUAUGAAUGCAAUUCCUCUAGAUAAAAAAUUGUGAAUAAAAAUAAAAACUGAAAUAAAUGAAUGUUCAGCCCCCACCAAA